GGGCCUAUAGCUCAGUGGUAGAGCAUUUAACUGCAUAUCAAGAGGUCACCGGCUCGAACCCGGUUGGGCCCU
Picea glauca (white spruce) is the source of this 72-nucleotide non-coding RNA. Lineage: Eukaryota; Viridiplantae; Streptophyta; Pinopsida; Pinales; Pinaceae. The record is from Rfam.